RNAcentral lists this ribosomal RNA (374 nucleotides) under uncultured organism. Its description in RNAcentral is "partial 16S ribosomal RNA". It matches the Rfam family "Bacterial small subunit ribosomal RNA", at positions 528 to 896 of the family's 1533-position model. The record is from RNAcentral.
GGGGGUGCAAGCGUUAUUCGGAAUCAUUGGGCGUAAAGGGCGCGUAGGCGGUCUCUUAAGUCAGGUGUGAAAGCCUUCCGCUUAACGGAAGAAGUGCACUUGAAACUAAGGGACUUGAGUAUGGGAGAGGGAAGUGGAAUUCCUGGUGUAGCGGUGAAAUGCGUAGAUAUCAGGAGGAACACCGGUGGCGAAGGCGACUUCCUGGACCAAUACUGACGCUGAGGCGCGAAGGCGUGGGGAGCAAACAGGAUUAGAUACCCUGGUAGUCCACGCAGUAAACGGUGAACACUAGGUGUAGUGGGUAUUGACCCCCCUGCUGUGCCCGCAGUUAACGCAUUAAGUGUUCCGCCUGGGGGAGUACGGCCGCAAGGCUA